UAAGUAUGCAGUGGAAGACUCAUUGAUUGUGAUGAUUGCUAAGGGACUAAGACCCAUUUUUCUUGGCCUUAUAUUGUGUGCAUCCCAUAGUCGUACGUUCUCUAUACUUAAUGAGUGAUUCGUGCCUUUGGAAAUAUAUAAACACUUGGGCCAUCACGAUGUUAUUUGAAAUGAGACUAUGCUUUGCAUCGGAAGUGAAUGGCAUCGUUAUCCUUCUUCAUUUUUUAUGCUUUCGUACAUUAAGGAAGUUCAAUGGAUAAAUGAAGGAUUCAGGGGUCUUCUCCCAUAUCCUUUUAAUUCAAGUUUGGGAGGCAUGACAACUACCCCACCUUAUUUCAAUGACAAGAACAAGGGUUCUCAUGGCCAAUAUGUGUCUAUUAAUGGGAUUUUCAAUGUCUUGCUUACCACGCUAAUCCUACUUCUGAUUGGAUUUGCAGCUUCAAGAUAUCAAACUCUACACCUUCUAUAUGGAGCUAGAUUUGCAAAAGCCAUAUCCAACUCGAGGAAGUGACUUAUUGACAUGGGAGAGAACUUAUUGGUAACCAAGGACUUUGUGAAGAUAGCAAAUUUUGGCCUUGCUUGUGAAGUUCAUUCGAAGACACCAUUAA
Molecule: long non-coding RNA, 608 nt
Organism: Zingiber officinale
Lineage: Eukaryota; Viridiplantae; Streptophyta; Magnoliopsida; Zingiberales; Zingiberaceae
Exons: 4
Source: RefSeq, a predicted model, not a curated record